This 501-nucleotide ribosomal RNA is filed under the name uncultured bacterium. RNAcentral describes it as "partial 16S ribosomal RNA". It matches the Rfam family "Bacterial small subunit ribosomal RNA", at positions 30 to 523 of the family's 1533-position model. The record is from RNAcentral.
AUUGAACGCUGGCGGCAGGCUUAACACAUGCAAGUCGAGCGGGGGAAGGUAGCUUGCUACCGGACCUAGCGGCGGACGGGUGAGUAAUGCUUAGGAAUCUGCCUAUUAGUGGGGGACAACAUCUCGAAAGGGAUGCUAAUACCGCAUAAGUCCUACGGGAGAAAGCAGGGGAUCUUCGGACCUUGCGCUAAUAGAUGAGCCUAAGUCGGAUUAGCUAGUUGGUGGGGGAAAGGCCUACCAAGGCGACGAUCUGUAGCGGGUCUGAGAGGAUGAUCCGCCACACUGGGACUGAGACACGGCCCAGACUCCUACGGGAGGCAGCAGUGGGGAAUAUUGGACAAUGGGGGGAACCCUGAUCCAGCCAUGCCGCGUGUGUGAAGAAGGCCUUAUGGUUGUAAAGCACUUUAAGCGAGGAGGAGGCUACUCUAGUUAAUACCUAGGGAUAGUGGACGUUACUCGCAGAAUAAGCACCGGCUAACUCUGUGCCAGCCGCCGCCGUAA